GAAAGCUUUGCUAAGGACAAGGCCUAUAAAUUUCCACCAUCACCGCUACUCCUUUGGACCAUCUCUUUACUCCAGCUUCCCCUCUUCUUCCUUCCUCUUUUUGUAGAUCAGGUUAAUUUAUUUCUAAUUCAUAGCUGUUUCUGUAAUGGAUAGUGAAAAGUUCGAUCAGUAUAUGGUUUGACGAAGAAAAAGUAACGAGGUAAGCCAUAGUUUGUGUUUGUCUUCCUGUAUGCCACACGCACAGAUCAAUCUCUUAACAAUAUUUUCUACUGUAAGUGGCGUACGAGGAGCCAAGCAUAUCCUUACUCUCCCUUUCUCUCUCUACUCUUUUCCUCUUUUCUUUAUCUUCUUUUCCUGUAUGACAAAGUAUACGGGUUAAUCAACUUAUUGUAAUCGCUGUUUGGGUAUAUUUCUGGUUUUCAUGGUUUCAUUUGCA
Dendrobium catenatum is the source of this 436-nucleotide long non-coding RNA. RefSeq lists it as uncharacterized. The record is from RefSeq and is a predicted model, not a curated record. Lineage: Eukaryota; Viridiplantae; Streptophyta; Magnoliopsida; Asparagales; Orchidaceae. The transcript is spliced from 2 exons.